This 400-nucleotide ribosomal RNA is filed under the name uncultured bacterium. Its description in RNAcentral is "bacterial SSU rRNA". It matches the Rfam family "Bacterial small subunit ribosomal RNA", at positions 28 to 424 of the family's 1533-position model. The record is from RNAcentral.
GAUGAACGCUAGCGACAGGCCUAACACAUGCAAGUCGAGGGGCAGCACAAGGAGCAAUCUGAGGUGGCGACCGGCGCACGGGUGAGUAACACGUAUGCAACCUGCCUGUAAGCGGGGGAUAACCCGUUGAAAGACGGACUAAUACCGCAUAAUACUGGAGAUCUGCAUGGGAUAUUCAGUUAAACAUUUAUGGCUUACAGAUGGGCAUGCGCAUGAUUAGAUAGUUGGAGAGGUAACGGCUCCCCAAGUCAACGAUCAUUAGGGGUUCUGAGAGGAAGGUCCCCCACACUGGUACUGAGACACGGACCAGACUCCUACGGGAGGCAGCAGUGAGGAAUAUUGGUCAAUGGGCGAGAGCCUGAACCAGCCAAGUCGCGUGCAGGAGAAUGUCCUAUGGAUU